AGCGAACGCUGGCGGCAGGCUUAACACAUGCAAGUCGAGCGGGCGUAGCAAUACGUCAGCGGCAGACGGGUGAGUAACGCGUGGGAACAUACCUUUUGGUUCGGAACAACACAGGGAAACUUGUGCUAAUACCGGAUAAGCCCUUACGGGGAAAGAUUUAUCGCCGAAAGAUUGGCCCGCGUCUGAUUAGCUAGUUGGUGAGGUAACGGCUCACCAAGGCGACGAUCAGUAGCNGGUCUGAGAGGAUGAUCAGCCACAGUUGGGACUGAGACACGGCCCAAACUCCUACGGGA
RNAcentral lists this ribosomal RNA (293 nucleotides) under uncultured bacterium. RNAcentral's name for it is "partial 16S ribosomal RNA". It matches the Rfam family "Bacterial small subunit ribosomal RNA", at positions 29 to 346 of the family's 1533-position model. The record is from RNAcentral.